GGCCCUGUAGCUCAGUUGGUUAGAGCGGCCGGCUCAUAACCGGUAGGUCCUAGGUUCAAGUCCUAGUGGGGCCACCA
Molecule: transfer RNA, 77 nt
Filed under: SAR324 cluster bacterium
Lineage: Bacteria; Deltaproteobacteria
Description: tRNA-Ile
Rfam family: tRNA
About the family: Transfer RNA (tRNA) molecules are approximately 80 nucleotides in length. Their secondary structure includes four short double-helical elements and three loops (D, anti-codon, and T loops).
Source: RNAcentral